Molecule: long non-coding RNA, 643 nt
Filed under: Gallus gallus (chicken)
Lineage: Eukaryota; Metazoa; Chordata; Aves; Galliformes; Phasianidae
Description: long non-coding RNA NONGGAT008456
Source: RNAcentral
CAUGCUGCUACACACAUUUACACCCCGUUACACACAUUUAUACACCGCUACAUGCCGUUACACACAUUUACACGCUGUUACACACAUUUACACACCGUAACAUGCCGUUUCACACAUUUACACGCUGUUGCACACCAUUACAUGCCGUUACACACAUUUACACACUGUUACACGCCGUUACACACAUUUAUACACCGUUACAUGCCCUUACACACAUUUACACACUGUUACACGCCGUAACACACAUUUAUUCACCGUUACACGCCAUUACACACCACCACACACCGUUACACGCCGUUACACACAUUUCCACACCGUUACACACAUUUACACACUGUUACAUGCCUUUACACACUGUUCCACACCGUUACACACAUUUACACACUGUUACACGCCGUUACACACUGUUACACGCCGUUACAUGCCGUUACACACUGUUACACGUCGUUACACGCUGUUACACACAUUUACACACUAUUACACGCCGUUACACACAUUUAUACACCGUUACAUGCCGUUACACACAUUUAUACACCAUUACACACUGUUACACGCCGUUACACACAUUUACACACUGUUACACGCCGUUACACACUGUUACACGCCGUUACACACAUUUAUACACCGUUACACGCCGUUACAC